UGAGGUGGACGGGCGACCGCCUUAGUUGAUUUUUGCAGCUACGGAGGAAAGUCCGAGCUCUCUCGGAAGGAUGCCCGCUAACGGCGGGGCGGGGUGACCCGACGGACAGUGCCACAGAAACAUACCGCCCCGAUGAGCGGACGAAUCGGGGUAAGGGUGAAAAGGCGAGGUAAGAGCUCACCGCGCCUGCGGCGACGCAGGUGGCAGGGUAAACCUCAUCCGGAGCAAGGCCAAAUAGGGGGAGAGAGGUGGUCCGCCUCGCUAUCAUUCCCGGGUAGGCCGCACCGAGGCGGCGGGUAACCGCCGCCCCAGAUGAAUGCCCGCACAGCGCGUUUACAACACGCGUGGACAGAACUCGGCUUAUAGAC
RNAcentral lists this RNase P RNA (368 nucleotides) under Dehalococcoidia bacterium. Its description in RNAcentral is "partial RNase P RNA component class A". It matches the Rfam family "Bacterial RNase P class A". Rfam says of the family: Ribonuclease P (RNase P) is a ubiquitous endoribonuclease, found in archaea, bacteria and eukarya as well as chloroplasts and mitochondria. Its best characterised activity is the generation of mature 5'-ends of tRNAs by cleaving the 5'-leader elements of precursor-tRNAs. Lineage: Bacteria; Bacillati; Chloroflexota; Dehalococcoidia. The record is from RNAcentral.